This 30350-nucleotide long non-coding RNA is filed under the name Gallus gallus (chicken). Lineage: Eukaryota; Metazoa; Chordata; Aves; Galliformes; Phasianidae. The record is from RNAcentral.
CCGGGGCCGGUGCGGGGGCGAGCGCUGCACGGCGGAGCGGCCGCGGUUCGGCACUGCGGGCUGCUCGGCUCCUCCGAGCGCUCGUGUGCGGGGAAAGCUGCGGCCCGCGCACAGCGUCGGAGCUGCCGCUCCUACAGCGGCAGGGCCGCCCGACGAAGCGCUACGGCGCUGCAUUUUAUCUUUUGCCGCCAGGAUGUGGCUCAGUGCCAGCUCCCUGCCCUCCGCUCGUUCUACCCUUCUACGAGCGGUUCUGCCGGCGGGAGGAGGCGUUCCGGCCGCGGGGCAGCGCGAAGGGCUGCGACAGGUGCAGAGGGCCGCGCUGCGGGCUCGGCGGCGCUCUGCGGGUGGAGGGGAGACAUCUUGGGGGCAGGAGGGCUGCGGGGCCUGCAGACCCCUUCGUGUCAUUGACUUGCCUGGUUUUGGAAGUCGCUUUGUAGGGAACUGAAAGGCGUAGGGAGCUGGAGACCCAGACCUUACUGCAAAAUGGAUUAUGUAGGCUCUUCAGGCGCCUCUGUGCUCUUUCCGUUUUUCUGUUUCCAUCAGCUAGUGUGUGGUUUGAAACAAAAAUACCAGUGGCAUGUAAAUGCCUUUGUUUAGUAAAUAGGAGAACCAAGGGGUUGCUUUGCUAUGGUGAGGCCUCAUCUCGAGUACCGUGUUCAGUUUUGGGCACCUCAGUACAGAAGGGACACUGAAAUGCUAGAGCAGGUCCAAAGAAGGGCAACAAGGCCUGUGAAGGGCUUGGAGAAUAUGCCCUAUGAGAAACGAUUGAAGGAAGUGAGGCUGUUUAGUCUGGGGAAAAGGAGACUGAGGGGAGACCUUAUUGCUCUCUUCCAAUAUCUGAAUGGUGAUGACAAUGAGAGCGGGGUUGGUCUCUUCUCACUGGUGACAGGUGACAGGAUGAGGGGAAAUGGCCUGAAGUUGUGCCAGGGUGAGUUUAGAUUGGGUGUCAGGAAACACUUAUUUACAGAAAGUGUGGUUAAGCACUGGAAUAGGCUCCCCAGGGAGGUGGUUGAGUCACUAUCCCUGGAUGUGUUAAAAAACCGUUUGGAUGUGGUACUCAGGGACAUGAUUUAGUGGUGGGUUGUUAGUUAGGGUAGAAUGGUUAGGUUAUGGUUGGACUUGACCAUCUUUAAGGUGUUUUCCAACCUGAACGAUUCUAUGAUUCUAAGUGGAAAAAGUAAGAGCACUUGCAACAGUGUAGCUUAGUCGAUGGCCUCCACCUUCCUUGUGGAAUGUACACAGCAGUAUGUGCAUGGGAACUGUUGAAUCACAGCCCAAACCUCUGAUUGACCACCUGAGGCGAGCGCUGAGUCAGCUGCAGGGGCACAGGUGAACGCAAUUUCACCUGAGUGACUGAAGUCAGGCUCCACCCCUCCUAUACCCCAUUUAAGGGCUGACUCCCAAGGAGGAAGGAUCUCUAUCUGGAGAUCACUCUCCUUGGAACCCUUCUGUGAGCCCAGGAUAAGGGUAAGAUCUUUAUUUCAUUUCUCCUUUGUAACACGAUAAUCUCUCUGGUUCAAUACCUGUAUACCUGUUUGCCGUACAAGUAUGUUAAAUGAGCACUCCUGCAGAGCAGAAAGGGAAAAACAUUUGCUUGGCCUGAAUCUGUUUGGCUUUUUGUUGUUGUUGUUGUUGUUGUUUUUCUUUCUUCUCUGGAAAAGGUUGCUUCAAAUAUGGCAUGUCAGUAUAGGAGGCUGGGGAUGGCAUGCGUAGGUGGAUCAUUAGAGUGAGCUCUGUCUGCAUGGAGCAGUGGUUAAUGGCUGGCUCUGCAUGCUUUAGUUUGGAAGUGAAAAUAGUGAUUGUUCCUGCAGUGAGGGAAGGAUAAGUUUUUUUUAUUAUUAUUACUUUUCCUUACUGAAAAAUGGAAACAGGAUACUAGAACCUGAACGUUAUUUUAUUGGGCAUCUAUUUACUUGCAUGCUUGUUGUAAAGGAUCCCAUUAUCCCGUGUGCUUAUUGAGCAACUCGUGUAAUUGGGAUAGUUGUGGUUCCUCAGUUGUGGCUGAAGGCCCUGGGCAUGGUGCUGGUGAUAAAAAUAAUACAUAUGGAGGUAACAGGCAGUUGCUUGAUCUGUUGCCAUUAUUUUUGGGAAGAUGUUUAAAUACAUUGGUUUGCCUCAGUACUGUUGCUGGGUAGGCAGAAGGCUGAUGAUUAUAGAGACAGGAAAUGCAUAUAAAAGACAACUGAGGCUUCACUAGGCAGAAACAAAGAGUGACUGGUGAAUUACAGUGUCAGGAAAUUAGUUCAACAGAUGGAUUUUUCUUCUGUAGACCAGCCAUUAAGUAUGACCCAUGCAAGUUAUUCUAGUUGUUAACUUUGGCCCCAUAUAAACCUUACAUAAGCACUCCGUGGUGCAUCCAAUGUAUACCUUUUAAACCAUGGAAAGUAAUGUCCCAUUCCAUCACACCUGUAUCUGUCACCUACCAUACAUUUACUUUUUUUCUUGUAAAACAGUUGGGAGCCGGAGUUAUCGCGCAUCUGCUGUUGUUUUUGUUCUGGUUUGUUUGGUUAUUUUUGUUUUUGUUUUCUGACCAGAAAAAGAGUGUGUGUGUCUUAGCAAUUGCACUGUUGCAGUCAUUGGUUGAUUUCUACUGUAAUUGCCUCUGGCUGGAGAAAGAAAGCAUGUAUAUGAGUUCAGAUACAUGUCAUAUUAGUCCACCCAUUCUAUAGUGAGCCCAUUCCUUUCUUGAAUAAAGCAUCAAUAAUGGCUUCCCAUUCUGUAUCUGUAAAUGUAGAGUGGUAUGAGUUCUUGCUAAUGUUGACAAAACAUUAGCAGAGUAAAUAUAGCUGUUUGUGCUUCCUGGCAAAUGUAAAUAAUGAUUCAAAAGAAUGUUGACACUUUCUAAAAUAAUGUGAAGGCAGGGAGGAAGGAGUGGUUGAUCAAGUGUUGUUACCAUUGAACAUCUGGUUGGUUUGACAGUGAAAACUUGAAUUGCUUCUGUUUUUAUCUUAUGUGUACACCAAAGACAGAUGGUGUAAUCAUGUCAAAUGGAAGGGUGCAUGUGUCCAUAGACGUGGGGUGGGGAGUUUGUAUGUAAUGAUCAGUGUGAAUUUAGUUUAGUUGACCACUGUCACUGAUGUAAAUCCAUUUUUCUUUCUGAACUCCUCUUCCACCUUCUGUUACAAUAACUUCCAUCCCUCUGCCAAGCAAAGAAAACAAUCUGUGUUGCAGUUAAUCUGGGGCAGGAGCCCUGCUGCCUGGCAGAACAGUCAGUUGGCCAGCUGGUUGAUGCUGGACAGACUGGGUAGCAGCUGAGACCUAGUUGCCUUUUUCUCUUAGGGUCUGCUAGUUUACAUUUCUUCUUCUAGGUUAGUUCUGUGAAUUUGGAGGAGCUUAUUAUCUUUCAGAUUUCUAAGCCACAGACAGCCUGAAGCCAGCAGGUUCAUUUAACCAAAUUUAUGAGCAGGGGUCAGACAGAUACAUUUGCAUGAAGCUUGUUUCCUUACAAGAACUAACUGGAAAACCCAGUAACCCUGAAUGCACUUGAAAGAACAAUGGUUUGAUUGCCUUGUGAUCAUUUGCAAGGCUGAAAUGAAACAGUUCAGUUAAUAACUUUGUCUUAAUGAGAGAAUGUCUGAAGGUGAUGUUUCUAAAUGCUGUUUGAAUCGACCCAAAUAACAACCUUCCUUCCAGACAAAUGUUGUUACUAGGCUUGCAGUUGGUGUAUUUUCCCAAACUAAGAAUUCCUUGCAGUCUAGGAUAAAAAGAGACUGCAGUAGAAUGUGAGUAGACAGAUAUCUUAUUUACACUUACAUGCACACACUUCACAUAUUUUAGCAGUAGUUUACUAUCUCUAUAACAAAAAAAGUUUAAAUGCUUUCAAAUGAUGCCUUUUAUGUAACUAACACUUCUAGCUGAGGAGAAACUUUCACUUGAGAACUAAAUGCCAGACAUCAACUUGUAUUUCAUCUCUUAUUACCCAACUGAACCUUCAGUUGGACUCUUUAAUUGUGGAUCGCAAGAUCUCUAUGUGAGUAGUCAGUCAAAUGCAGAAGUAAUAAUUGUUAGAAGUAAGUUUUAUUCAUCCCUAAUCUGAAGGCUGCUCCAAAAGUAAUGCCUUCUAUUUUACUAUGUUGGCCCACGACAUCAGAGGCAGCUGUCAGAAGAGGCUGAACCUUUCCUCCAGUAUCCCGUUACACUUUGUUGCUGUACAAUAGAUGGCAGCAGAGGGGCAGUCUGACACAAUGGCAUCUGACGUGGAAGUGAGUGUGAAACAAAGGGGUGUAAUUAAAGUCCUCCAUGUAAGAAAAGAUUGCAACCACUGACAUUUGUUUACACUUGAUGAGUGAUUAUGGAGACCAAACAGUGGGUGCUGCAUUUCAGCAGUGGUGCCAGCAACAUGAAAGGCAGACCACAUUUCAGAUGGCCAUGCAGAUUUUUGUAAGCGUGGCAUGCAGGCUCUUGUGCAUCGCUGGCAAAAAUGCAUAGCUAAUGGUGAUGGCUGUACUGAAAAACAGUGUUUUAUAGCUCAGAAUUUGUUCUAUCUGAAUUGUGUUAUUGUGCUCUCUUUGUCUGUUGUGGUUUCCAUGGAAAUAAACAGGAGGUAUUACUUUCAUAGCAGCCUAUGCAUAUCAAUGGUGGAAAAAAGCCAGGCUUUAAGUACUUUUGUAUAUGCACCUAAUGUAAUAAUAUAUCAGCUCUUCACAACCCAGAUCCUAAGGACAAAGAUUUAAUAUCUGAAGUAUAGAGAUAUAAGAGCUGAGUUCAUGUAUGCUUUUGGGGAAAGCAGUUUGAUUUAAGUUUCUCUCUUGAAGAGAGACAGCACAAGCAUGAGUUUGUUCAUAUUAAUUUCAUGAUGCAUUGAGGGACUAGUGUCAAAGUCUUCUGGUUUAUACUGUUACAGGAUAACUCUAUUAAAAUAACAUCAUAAUGGAAAAGACCUUGUAGUGUAAGAACUGUAUGAUUCCAUGGAAUACCCAUGUGAUUACAUACAAAUGUUUCAUUGUGGAAAGUAACAAAGUGGAAUCUCAUAUAGGAGGGUUGGUGCAAAUGUCCUGAGCAAAUGCCAGAUCAAACAGCUGGAUUUUUUCAUCUCUUAAUUCUUAUUGUAUAUCCAAUUAGAUAUGAUAGUGUUAUUUGUGCUCUCUGAUGGUAUGAAUGUUAAAAUUGACUAUUUUAACUGUUCUUUGGCCUUUCAGGUUUCAUGCGUAGUUUCACCUGUUCUGUUUCAGAAGUAUUUCAGUGCAGCUAGUUGGUCUUUGAACAACUGUGCAUUGUUUUCUGCACUAGUGCCCCAGUGAUUCAUCAAAAGCGAUAGACAAAUAGUUCUAACCCCAACAUAUAGUCUCCAUUUUUCUUACUUUGACUAGUUUUCUUUCACAUCUUUGCUCCAGAAACUAUCCCAAAAGACUCAAAAAUACAUUGAAGUUAUCCUGGCAGCUGUUAGUUAGCCUGUAAAAUGUGCUGCAGCUUUAAUGAGAUCAUAUAUAUCUUAAUAUAUCUAUAUAAUUAUAUAUAUAUUUGCUAACUAUUCUCUCGUUUGCCUUCUACCUCCUACAGAAUUUCCAUAUACACAUAUGGUGAGCACAUAACUGUGGUGAAACGAUCUCACCACCUGUUGUUUUAAAAUAGCACAGAUGCUUAUUAAUGGUCCUUCCAUGAUGCUGUUUAUAGUACAUGUUAAACCUCACUUAAAAUACUGUGGAUCAUAUUGGUGAAGGAUAUUAUUACUUCAGUAGCAGCCUUAAAUUGGUUCCUGUUCAGCAUCUUUAUUCAAUCUGUUGAUUGUUCAUAGGUAGAAAAGAGGCCGUCUUCAUAGGACAGUCAAAGCUGUGAUCUUCAGUGAGAAACGUGUCAUUGAGUCGUGUACAAGGUGUUGUGUGAAAAUGGCUGUUGCUAUUUGGAUACCUGAUCAACCCAAAGAACUACAAAACAUAUGAUUACACCACUUCUCAAUGCUCUGUCUUGACCUCAGUUGCUUUGAACUCCUUUGUGCCAAGACUCAAGAGCAGAGCUAUUGCACUUUAUGCAAAUAAAGGGAAAGUGAAUAACCUGAGAAGUUAUGCCUUGAUCAAGAGCAUCUCCUGAUGUAUUUAUUUGUUAUUCAUUUACUUUUUCAUGGAAAAGCCUGUUCCAAACUGACUAAACUAAAUGUAUCUAGGUACACGUUCCAUCAAUUCUGUGUUUUCUUUGUCCAAUCUAAAGAGUGACUUGGAUUCUCAACUUUGCUUUCAAAGAGUUUCCAGAGUUCUGCUUAGUAUGUAAUUCUCCUAUAACUCUAGACUUGUGAGGUUUUUAUCUUGUUUUUCUGUUCCUUUGUUGUUCUGGUGUUUAUUUGUUGUUCGCUUUGGUACAACCUGAUCAAACUAGAAAUUAGAGAUGCAUUCCAUGCAUUUUUACUUUAAAAUCAUCUAUCCAUGUGAGGGCAAACAAAUUCUUGAUGUUAAAGUGGCAGUUUGUUGUCACUCACACUUCACUGGUAUGUAAACUCUAAAAGGUGAUCAGAGUAAACAGACUGUGCUGCUCUUAAGCUUUUUGAAGUUCUUGCUUAAGGCACAGUAUGUUCUUGGUGUUUGUAUGUUUCUUGUGAAUUCCAAGAAAGCACUGCCAUGCACUUGAAAAAAUAUAUAGCAGAAAAAGGAAUGAAGGAUGUGUUUUAUAUACAUUGAGCAAAAGCUCAUAGGAUUUCCUGCUCUGAGCGAAUAGAGUUAUUGUUUACCCUACGGUGUUGACUAUCAGAUGUCUGCUCAGGCUGUCUAGGACGAACAUAACUUUUCUGAAAGAUUUGUGUAGCGUAUCAGUACAAAGCUAACCUGUAAUAGCAGAAUCUGCUAUUGGAAUAUGGCUGCUGGCAAGCUUUCAGUAAACGAUAGAUGGAGAAGUAAUUCAUAUAUUACUUCUCCAUUAUGUAUUAAGUAAUCCAUCUUUUGAUGGAGUCUUCAAGCACUUGAUAGCAUUGAUGAAGAGUUUUGUUGAGCUCUAGUAAUAUUUGCACUACAAUUUAAUUUCAGGGAACAUAAUGUCCUCACUGAAUGUGUUCAGUUACUCAGAUUUAUAUUCUCAGCCUCUGUGGUGUACUUUGGCAUUUAUAUGACUUGGUGUAUGUGGAGUUUAAGGAAGUAAGUCUCCAAUCGGCCUUAAAUUUGUUGCCUGAUUGUUUAAUUAGGGACCCUUUUAAUUGCCCUGAUGUGAGAAAUGCUAAACAGUUGUUCCUUCUCCCUGUCUCACUCAGUGAUUUCACUGGAUCUGCUGCAUUGUCUUUUUCUUCAAGAACUGUUUCUCCUUGGUCUGUUUACUCUUUCUGCAUCUGUAGACUGUUCCAUAUCUGAUUCUUCAUCACUUCUUUAAAAAUAUACUUUCCUUCCUACUAAUGGAUUUCUGUAAGAGCUUGAGAACUAUGCCUAGUGGUAUGGUAACUUCUAUUUCUCUUCCUUUCCUAGACUUCUACUAUGCUGUUUUUUCCCCUUCACAGAUAUUAAUUCUGUGUUUUAUUUGGGCUGGUCUCUGACACCACUGUGAAGUUCAUUGUAGGAUCAGUACAGCAGGAUGUUUGCCAUGAGACUGAGCCAGUCUCCCAUAAUGGGUGCCGUUAGCAGGAAGUUAGUAGAAGUUGAUAGCUGGUUAUCAGAACGUUCAUCUUGCAAAUGUGGGAAAACAUAAAAUGUGUGUGCCUUAAAAUGUAAGAAAAAAACAACACGUGUAUACCCAUGUAUAAUGUAUAGCCUUACAAAGCAAGAGAGAUAUAAAUGCCUUCUUUGUUUCAUAUUUCUUACAGUUUGAAAUAGUGGGAUAAUGGCAGGUUAUGGAGCUGGGCUAAUGUGUGAGUAUAGACAUGAUGAUCCAGAAAUGAAUGAAAAGGAUCCACUAAUGUGUAUAAGAAUUGGAGCAUGUGGAAAAAAAAAAGAAAAAAAAAGCCAGACAUAAUGUGAAACACUUCAUGAAUAAAAAAAAUAAAACAGCCCAGAAAUAGACUUUUAUGUUUUAAUUAACUGUUAUUUAUAAAGUCUCAAGGUGUUAAAAUGUGGAAUGGAGCAUGCGUGAACAUAGAAGCUGUGAGACUUUAGGAAGAGGCAUGGCUUAUCAAUAUUGAUUACAGCAUGCCUUAAAAGCCUGAGGACACCAGAGCUUUUUGUCAGUGAGAUAAGCACAUUUCAUCAUAUAUUUGCUUGUAUACUGGCUGCUAAUAUUUACAUUCAUUUCUUAGACCAACAUCAAAACCUUUUCUAAGCAGAAUAUUGGUCCUGAAUAGGGAGUGCCCUGAAUUAUCUGAACAGCUGGAGGACUUCUUGAGUAAGUCUUUUGUGUGUAGAUUUCUUGUGGUGAGAAGUGCAAGUGUUGAUCUGUUGAGUGGUAGCUACAAUAUUAUUAGGCAGUGAAGAUUUAUGUAAUGUCAGUGUCAUUCACUGAGUGACAGCAUGCAAAAAGAGCAUUGCCAACCCUGCAUGUCCUUUUGGAGUUAAAUUGUUGUAGCUAUAGCAAGUGUGCUGCUAUAAGUCCUGUGCAGGGCAAUGGCAGCAUUCUGUUGAGUUUCACAGAAGCACAAACACUGAUAAAUGGUGAAAAAGAGAUGCACUGCCUCCACAGAAAGUAUCACACCAACCCUCAACGCACACACAGCAAGGGUAUUUAUAGAACACAAACAUGAUAGCCACUCAUCCAGAGGAGCAGAUACUGUGUGUAAGGAAUUACAAGCAUGUGACAUCACUUCCUCACUAAUACUUCUAUAUUCAUUAUAUAUAGAUAUAGCAAUAAGCUUUUAAUAUACAGGCAGCUAAUAAUGGGGAAUGAUUUCAUUAGUGCAUAAGGAAGGAGCUGUGUGAAGAUACUUGUGUUAUGCACUAAUUGUCAUUCUAGAAGUGGAUACUUCUCAAUUUUACAUUCUUCACAUUUACGUAAUUACCAUACAAACCAAAGAGCAAGAAUAACUUAUUUUCCCUCUCUCAGAUUUUGGAGAAUUGUAUUAUUUGUGCUGCACUUCUGAUCAUGGAAGACUUCAAAACACUUAACAGCCCUUCCAUUUUCAUUGACAAGCAUGGAAUGAAAAGUGUGGCUUAAACACUGUUUUCCCACAGACGUAUUGUGAGUAGAACUGCAGAGCAGGAAGUUAUUUAUGCUAAUCUCUAGAAAAAGGCACUGAUGUCUGAUGGCUGCUGCAGCACAUUGGGCCACACUGUUUCCUUCUAAGCAGAAAAUUCUUUCCUGUCACUUCUGUGCUUCAUAUAAGCAAUUUUUGAAGGGCGUUUAUCCAUUACAGGCUGCAGCUCUGCUUCUUAAGUACUUGUUUUGAUGGGACAACUCACUACCCAGUGUAUUUUGUGUAGAUGUGCUAGAUUCUCCACGUCCCCUCUUCAUUGUAAUUUCUGUUAUUCCACCAUCGUUUCCCUUGGUCUAGCUAAAUCAGACAAUAAUACUCCUUUUUCCAAAUCUCCCAAACAUAUUCUUUACUGAAUUUGUCAAUAAGGAAGGUUUUUGAGUUUGUAGUUGGGAUUGCCUUGGUAGGACAGUAUUUUACAAACAAUUACCUUUAACUACUAUCACAAACUUCUUUUUUUUUUAAACUAGCAAGUUCUGUACCUUUUAAAUGUCAAUUCAAAAUUUGCAUAGGCAAACUACGAGGCAGAAUUCUAGGCUUACGAACUUGUUUUGAGCACUGUUCUGGGAUCAAUAUCCAAAUGACCACUUGUCUUUGUGUGGUAUGUUGCAUUAAUUUCCCACUAGGGCGAGAAGAGUGCCACGGGUCUGACCAAUUUUCCUCUGCUAGCCGGGUUGUGUGAUCUGAGCCACUUGCUGAGCACCAUGCGUUCUUUGAGCCUUGGGCAGUGCUUGAGUACCUCAUUGUGUCUAGGCAUCCUUAGGGACAGAUAUGAGGUUUAGUUCAGUUUUUUUUUUUGUAUGGAACGGGGGUCAACCUUGUGAUCUUCAUUUUAAUAUAAGCAGUGUCUGUGAACACUGAACACCAGAAGAGUUUCAUAUUAUACUGUUGAACUGUUGCUGGGGAUUUCAGGACAUCUUUAGCUUUUGUUAAUUCUUUCUGUGAAAAAGAACCAUAGCCAAAUAGACCACUUUCUGUGGCUUUCCUCCUAUCUCAUGAUCUCUGCAUACAACUGAAGUACAUCCUGGCUUUUGUAGCUACUUGCUUAGUUUCAUGUGGGAAAAGCUGCACACUGCUCUACCUAACAGUAACAGCUAGUUACUCAUAAAGGAUCCUUCAUCCUCUGAAAAUCUUUACAUCUCUGAACACAAGGCAAAUAAGACUGGCAUAAGCUCUGAAAUACCCAGCGGAGUGUUUGCGCUUGAAUCAUCUGCAGCACACCUACUUGGACUGUGCACAAGAAGAUGUCUUUUCUUUUUUUACCCUGUGGAAACUGGAAUGGUGUAGACAGAAUGGGAGUGCCUAGCUCUCCAUCCUAAGAUUUAAUCAUGUCAACUCUGCAAAGUACUUGUGCAGUGUGCAACUGUAACAUAACUAGAAUCUUGUUUACUGUUCUAUAGCGUGUUCCGCUACAUUUUUUUUACAAGCAAACUUGUUUAGGAGUUCCUUGUCAUCUCAAAAUGACAAAAGUCAUACUAUGACUACUAAUGCACUAAGCAAUACUGCUGCCUUUUUAUUUUUCUUUGUUGGAGCAGCUGCAGCAGGAUCCCUACCUUUCUGAUAAAAGUACCUGUUUUGGCAAUAUUCCCAUUUCCAUGAUUGCUUGAAAGAGGUUGUGCUUUCUCAUCUAUCCUGAGAUGAAGGAAGAGUGUAUACUUACAUAUGUGAGACUUAUCUCAAACAUAGAAUCAUAGAAUGGCCUGGGUUGAAGAGGACCACAAUGAUCAUCUGGUUUUAACCCACCUGCUAUGCGCAGGGUCACCAACCACUAGACCAGGCUGCCCAGAGCCACAUCCAGCCUGGCCUUGAAUGCCUCUGGGGAUGAAACAUCUAAACAUUCUGCCAGGUGCUGUGAGGGAGGGGACUAAAAUGGCUUUGCCAACUUGUCCUUCAUAGUCUUGGCUACUUGAAGUGCCUUUCUGAUGUGAUGUAUUAUCAGCUGAAAUAAUUUUGACUUUGUCCCCAGACUCCUUAAGCCUUCCCUGCCUGAUUUUUGCUCUUUCUAUGAACUUGUGUAAUACGUUUAUUUCUGCAGCAUCCAAUGAAAAGGACAUCUGUGGCCCAUUUGCUAGUCUGUUCCUUUUUGCUUUGUGUAUACAGGCUACCAGAGUAGAAUUCAUUUUUCCCACAUUGAGUACAGCUUACUCAAAAAAACAUCAAUGGCACCAAAAUUUAAAUGGAACUGCCCAUCAUUCCUUCUAGCCUGCUCCUCUACUCUUCCUUCCUUCCUGUUUUGAAACAGUGGAAAAAAAUUACAAGAGUCAAAUGAAAGCUUAUGUCUUUAUUCUAAAUGGAUAAAUUUAAUAACUUAAAAUUACCAAGGUCUGUCAGUCUGAUGUUACUCCCAGGCAAAGUAGUAUAAAAAGCAAAGCUCCUUUUACUUAAAGCUUUGAAGAACAGUAGUACAAUUAAUGCCAGUUGCUGCUGAUUAAAAGAGGAAAAAUGAACCUAACAAAAGGGAUUGUAACAAGCUGGCUUUACGCAUUUUUGGAGGUUGCAGGUUUGUUUAGCUUCAGGAAUUAAACUUAGUGGUGUAUUUCAGAGAGAUCUGAAGUUAAUACCACUUAAUAUCUACCAACUCAAACACCUCUAGCAAGUUAUCUGCCAGGUUUGCUGGUUAGUUCUGAAUGCCGGGCAACAUGGUGGCCAACAGUUGCAAUAGAGCAUGUGGUAUGUGACAUUCACAGCAUGUUUUACCCACUGGAAUGUUUUUGUACCUGUCAUAGAGGUGUGAUGAAUGUCUUCCAACAAGUAUGUGGUGGUGUUUCGGUCAGCACUGACCCAGACUGAGCAGCUGCUUUUGACUUCACUGUAGAAUGAUUUCUAAAAAUGGAUUACUUGCAACAGUUUUUAUCUGCUCGUUAAAUACCAAAGCAAUCUGUGUUGAAUAUGUACUCGGUAAUAAAUGGCAUUCCCUUUUUUACUCAGUCUCUGCAAUGUUCUGCAAUAUUGGUGAGCGUUCCCUUAACUUUUUCUCCACCAUGACCCCCCGCACCCCCUGCAAAAAAGAAAAGUAAAGGGAACCUUUUUAUGCAUUCCACAAAAUGUGAAUUCUUUCUUCAAAAGUAGUCAGGAUGUUGUUUAAAUACAGCCAAUUUAUGAAAAGUACUCUGAAUAUCCUUUUAGUAGGGCACACUAAGUAUGUUUGCUUGUUAGAUGAGUUCAAAGACAGCACAAACAGAAUGACGCAUUCUCCUCAGCUAUCUUAAAGGCUUCUAUGAGACUGCAGAGAUUUUUUUGUUGUUUUUUUUUCCUGUAUAAUACAGACCACAUUUUUUCCAAGUGUUUGUCUAUGUGGCAAAGUUAAUAAAAGAUCUGAGCAAUCUCCUGGCAGUAAUUUUACCGGAGCCCUUGGUUUAAUAAAAAGCUAGGAAAGGGCUUUUACGUUAGUGUCCUCACAAAGCUUCUGAAAAAUGCAUUUUAAAUUUAUUUCUUUUUCCUGUGAUGUUUCUGAUAUUUUUUUUUUCCAGCUCUUGGUCUCUAAACAACAAGGGGAAAAAAGUUUAAAUUUAGACUGUGAACUUGGUUACAGCCAUCUUGCUUUAUCUUCAUUGUAGUUUCAUGUAUUAAAUCCACCAGACUUAUCACUUUCUUGCUAGAAACCUAUGAAACUGUUAAAACAUUGAAAAUGGGCAUUUCUUUCUUCCCAUAUGACUCAUCACUUUGCUUGCCUCAUUUGAAUGUUUUACACUUCAUUAAUCCCUUGUGGUUAUGCUGUAUGUCUUGGUUUUUUCUCUUCUGUCUCUGUUGGACAAUAUGAACUUUGUUUCAUUUGUCUUUUUGCAUUUUGAACUUUGGUACAGGCUGUUCUCCCCUGCAGCUCCACUUUCCAUCUACAACAGGGUAAUAUUCUUCCAGACAUCAGCAUGUUGCCUAAAGAUCAAGAGGGCAGUUUAACAUUGCAUUACCUUCCCUACUUCUCAUGCAGUAGAUAAAAUGAAAACUGCUGUGAAAACAGAAGACUACCAGCUGUGCCAGAUGCAUGCUACCUAGUAGCAUGAAGAAAAUCUCUUGUAUAAGCUGCACUCAGGGGAUGCUGGGUGGGUCUUUCAAAUUAAUUAUUGAAAAUGGCAUGAGAAACACAAGAUGAAGAAACAGGGAAAAAACGUCAGCAAUUAAAAUGAGUAAACUGUCACAAAGAGUCCCUGAAAAGCAGCUUUUAAAAACACACAAUGCCAACAAACAAAUUUAUAAACUAUUUGUUUUUCACUGCUGCGGCCAGAACUCAGUAUGAGAGGUGCCUUUGUAGACUCCUUUGUCUUUGGUCUCUGGCUGCUCCAGCUCAGUCUGUUCUUCUGUCCAUCCCCUUUCUUCUUUCUUUCUUUAUUUAUUUCUAUAAAGGACAGAGACGAAGGUCAAUGCUGUGCUGUGGAGCCACAUGUUUGAGUGAUUUGCUUUGUACUAUUCCAAGUCCUUCUUAGUUAAUAAUGUCAAUAUACUAGUGAAGAAACUCCACUGCAAAAAUGCAUUUUUUUCAGAUGGGAGCUGAUGAAAUUUUUAAUGCUUUUUCAUUUUACUGUUUCAAAACUUGAUUUUAAAACAAGAUUGUGUUUCAGUGCUAUCUCACUUCAUGCAUUCAAAAGACUGUUACUUGUGUGCCAGUUCAGAAUGGAGGUCAUAGUUCUGCCUUCAGUACUAUGCUACCCAGGUUGCAGAUAAGAUGCAAGACUUUAUUAUAUAGACUAUGCAUAGGUGUUAGUGGUAAAAUACAUAGCAAUGUUCCUCUUCCAGUUAUCAUCAAGCCCAGGGCCAAAGUGUGUGUGUGUUCUUGCAAAUUUAGGAGUUAAAUGGAAAUCUUCAUCUUCUCUUGAGAAAUUAAGUAUUUUUGACUUUGUGGGUAGAAUCUGACGAGGAUUCCACCAGUGAUAAUUCCCUAGUAAAGAUAAUUAAAGCUGGUAUCUUGAGAACUCUUUGCAUUAAUUUUGUGUCAUAUUAUACUUUAAUUUCUGCAACCUUAAUUAAUCAAACGUUAAUGGUUACUCAAUCUGUAGCAACGUUUUGGGCUUAGAAGUAUCAAGGGGCAUAUUCCUAAUUGAAUACUGGGACCAGUGUCUUCUGCUCCCCUUUUCCAAAAGAGGAAUAGACUGAUGUAAGUGCAGGGAGAAAAGAAAGAGGUAAUUGUCAGCUUGUCCUUCAGGACAAGAAAUGACAGCAGAAUGAAGACAGUGAAGUAAUUAAAAGGUCUUUCUGUAGAAGAUGAGGUGGCCUUUACUGUGCCUAAUUACGCAGACUGUAAUUUAAUAGAUGCUGCCUCAGUCUCCCAGUUGGAUCUUUCAGUGACUGGUUCCUGCAGGCAGUCUGAGUGCUUACAGUCUAGGCCUCUGAGCAGAGAUCCAGGUAAUCGUUGCCUGAGACCACAGGCUGAGAGAACAGAUUGCCUUGUGAGAAGUCAGAGCUCUCAUCCUUUGUGGUUUAGUGUUAUAGAUUAAUCCUUUGUAGAUUAGUGGCUUUGGCCUGUAAUGUUAACAGUUUGUAUUGUAGCAGGAUAGAAAGGAGUAUCAACCUCAUUCUAAACCUCAGUUGUUAUCCUCCAGCAAAUAGAGCUAUAAUCUGGUUUUAUAAACCUGUUUAGAGGUGACCAAAAAAUAAAAUAUUUGGUUACUUAAGUAUGCGUCAGGAUCAAGCAACUCCAGAGCAGGCCAAAUUAAUUUCAAGGAAUCAUCCUAAGAAGGGUCAGUAUGUGUGUAAAUGGGGGCUUUAUUUCAUCUAUGACAUAUACUGAUAAUAGUGACAACUUUUUGAACUCACUCAUCGUGGAUUAAGCAAUGUGUAUGCAGACCAGUACCCUUUGCUGUUACAGUUCUUUUGUUGAAGUUGAGUUCUUGGUCAAGAAAACAAUUUUGAACUGUAUGUAGCUCUAUGAUAAGAGUAGGUGAACAGUGACACAAGUCCAUACUCACUGUGGGAACCAGCUGUACGUGUAUGUCACUGGUUGACUUGUAAAGUGAAAUUGACACUAAGACAAUGAGAAACAAACUAACCUUUCCCAAAUUUAUGCAUUAUUGAGUUUGUAAUUAUUUAACAUAUCUUAUUCUGAUGCAGAAAAAUGCAAAUAGAUAUGUGACAGCAAGCAUGGCAAGCUAAACUUGCUCUUCUGUCAAACCCACCCACAUAGAAUAUAUUCAAGAAAAGCUCCAUCACAUGCUGAAAUCUGAAGACUGAAGCAAUCUCAAGAUCUAAAUUUGAGUACACUUAAUAACUGUUUAUAAUUCAGCAUUCAAACUGUGCUGGUGUAGGGCAAGAAACAACAGAAAUCAAGCAGGAACUGUAGAACAUGAUGGUAUUUUAUAAUUGUGAAUGUUGCCAACAUUGUUGUGGACCUCGUAGUUUCCUUUCCUCAGGGGUAUUCACUUUUAACAACUCCUGAAAGCUUUCUGCACAGACUUGUUAGGGAAAGCUAGUGAAAAAUUCUGGAAGAAUCAGAAAAGAAGAUAUAUUUGCUGGUAUUGCCCAUAGCAUCAGAAUAUGGAAAAAGUUGCUUUUCACAGAGCACAGAUUUCUAGUCUAAUUGUCCUGUACUACUUAGCUUUUAUUUUCCUUUUACUUGUUCAUAAUUCUUCCUUCUUUGUAACAAAUUAGUAUAGCUUUAUGACUACUAGAUUCUGUACUGAUUUAUUUGAUAUUAGCUGAUCAGCACUGCUUUUGGGGCUCAGUCAUGGCAAAUAGGAAUGGCCUUGCAAUAUCAUGUUAAGGAAAAGUAUACUCAGAGUAGUUUUCUCAGUGAAUUAUACAAGCUGAGAAAAAGCUACUUAUUCUUCUGCAUGUAUCUUAACAGCCUUAGAGAUCACUCUAAGAACAUUCUCUACUGUCAGGUGCAAUUCUGUUUGUAGACCUCCUCCGCCCUAUUCUUGUUGGUUUAGAGUGCCCAAGAUUAAUAGGAAGAAAUACAGAAGAAAGCCUAAUAUAAAGUUGAGCAGAGUAAAAAUUGUCUCACAGUCAUAAGGGUUAGCUCUGCAAUACUUUAUUACUACAUUCAUAGCAUCUAAAAGAUGUAAUACUUUGCAGUUUCAUAGAAAGUUUAUGCAGUGUUAGUAGAGCUCAUGGGAGUAUUUGAUUGCAUGCUUAAUAAUCAGAUUGAAACAGUUUGUGUUGGCAACGUGAUCAUCAUCUAUAUUUGCCUCAAAUCAGAGGUGGUGGUAUGUUUUCUUUAGCUUAUAGGGAUUUUUCUGUGAUACUCUUUUUGUUUCUGUGUAGGUUUUUUUAUCUUUCAAGUUAGCAGUUAACUAGAAAGUCAAUUGCAAGUGUCUCAAAUAGACUUUGUGAAGUAUUUCUUUGGGAUUAGAUAGUAUUCAGAAUAUGAGAAUUGUAAUUUGUUUGUUUUCCCUGGGACCACGGUGUGGUUUCCUGUGGUGGUGGUGGUCGUUUUCUUCUUGUUUGUUUUCUGGGGUUCAGGCCUUUGUUUGCUUUUUCUUUUUUCUUUUAAUGAAUUCCCUUCUUUAUUGUUAUAUUCCUAAAGUGUGCAUGGUGACUGUCAUAUUCUGUGCUAUUUUUUGCCCCAAGGACAGCAUAGCUCUUCACUUUAAUCUUGUGUUCUAAUAAUACCAUCCUCUGACCAUCGGACUCAGAGACUGAGCACCUUAAUGCUUACUCUCUACAGUGUCGUUUUAUAUUCUUAAAGAAAAAACAUUCCAUCAUAUUUAAUUUUGAUAGGGAAAAUUGAAUGGUUAGCUUUCACUUUCUGUUGAACCCAUCAGCACUGCUAGCUCCUUAAACAGUAUACUGAAGUUUAGCAAGCAGGAGAAUAAUUUACCUGAAAAUAGCUUUAACAGACCUCAGAAAUCAUUGCAUUAUUUUAUAUGGAGUUUUAAGUAAACAGCCAAAUUCCCUUUGAGCUUACAGAUAAGUUUACUAAUAUGGCCUUUGAGUCAAAUGACUAAAAGAUUUGUUAUGCUUCCCAAAAAAUGUAUUGGCACGUGUAGAUCACUGCUGUUGGGAUACAGAGCAUUGUUCAAGUAAUGAUGUCAUAUAAGCUACCUCUGUGGAAAGGAGUGGACAGACGCAUGCUGAGACGUGCAUUCAGCAAUGUUCCAUAUAGAAGAGCAGAAGAAGCAGAGAUUUCUAUUUCACUCCAGCUUUGCAGAUUCUUGAAUAUUUUCCCUGUGUUUCACGUGUUUGAACUCUCAACAAAAUACAUUUAAUAAUUAAUAAUGGAAUUAAAUAUAUUAAUUUUUCUUUAUAUAUAUAUAUUUUUUUUUUUCAAGUAGUGGUAUUUGAAUAAUCCCAGUAGGGUGCUGAGCAACAAGAAAGGCAAAAUAUAAAAGGGGUAAAAUACUGUCUGAUUCUGGAAGUCACAUUUAGAUAUGCAUAACAACGCAUUAACAAGCAAAUUGCUUGGGAGGAGGAGGGAUAUUUUGGAAAUAAAUAUUUUAAACAGAAAGACACUGAGGCUGAGCAGGCUAUAUCCAAGGACUAUCAUAUGAUGGCAAGGUUAUACUAAGAAGCUUUUUCUAAAAUGAUGUCUUUCCAUUUUCAGUUGACCUCUGAUUUCAUCUCAGACAAUGAUGAGGGCAUAAAUAUGGAUUAUUAUGUUACACAAACGUCUGUGCUGUUUCUGUCGGUUCGUGAGGAGGCCGUAGGUAGGAGGCCUAACAUUGAGGCGAUGGAAAUAUUUUUUCAAAGUAAGGGUAGAAAAAAAAUCAGUUAAUUUACUUACCUAAAGGUUGCCUAUGAAGCACGUAUUCACUGAAGUUUUUAAUUCAAUACGGUCAGAGAACGUGGGCAUUGAUUGCCUCAUAGCAGAGAGAAAAAUGUCUUUCUCCUUUAAUGUUUUUAACAGUAAAGGUGAAUUUCUGACUCAACUGAAAUCAUAGCGUUUUCAUCAACGUCAGCACAUCUCGAAAUUAACACAGAUUUCAUGGCUGCUGUCCUACAUUUCAGCAUUACAAUAAAUCGAAUUUUCAAAAGGGAUAAAAGGUUUGUUGGGUUUGCCAUUUUAUUUCACUCCUUACCCUCAGAUAUUCUUGUAAAGGCUGGUUCUUACUCAUUUCUGAAGCUUGAAAUCCUUUGUUACAUCCCAUUUUGGCCAUGUGAAACUGAAAAUGAGUCUCUGCAUACUGGUCAUUAACCUGAACUUGGCACACUACAUGUGUAUGGGCAGCUGUAUUUUUGUUUGUUGUUUUUCUAUUGAUAUUUUGUUAGAUUUUUUUUUAACUUAUUGCAUUUGUGGAGUAUUUGUAUUGUAAACAAGCUCACCAAAGCUUAGCCUACAAGCCAUAAUGUCACCCCAUGCAGCGUGCUUGCAUCUUUGGCCCCUCUUGCUCUUCUGACAGAAUUCAGCAGAAUAAUGUGGUGUGUUUUUUUUUUUAAAAAAAAAACAACUCAAUUUUGUUACUAUAGUGAAUACUUUCUUGGAAGCUGCUUAUAUAGGCUUGAAAAGCUGAUAUGUACUCCUCCUCCACCUUUCUUCUGGUACAGAAACCUAAAAAUGUCAAGACUAAUCUCAUGUUUAAGUUAUUUCAAAUAACAGAGAAAAGAGUCCUCAUCCUUUUGCAUGUAGGAAAAAAAAAAAAGGGCCUCAGUCUUGGGAAAACCACACUGCUUUUGUUGUUGGUAGAAAUCACAGCUACAAGGAUCACGGUCACUGAGAACAUGGAGAAUGUCCUGGUCUAUGAUGUUACAGACUGAUGUGUAGACAAUGCCUUAUCUAUUGCUCGUGCUAUUAGCAUCCUUGAUGCAUAGUCUUCACUUGGUGUGAGACUGUCAUGAAUCAGGGACAUGUAACAAAUGAGGUUAUGUGCCUUUGAAUUCCUGGUCUGAGGAAGAAAGAAAGUGACAGCAGAGCAGUCUCAGCAAGCUAGUAAAGUUUUAAAAAUACACUAAAACACCUAUUGACUGCUUCUCAUGGCCAUUUAUAUCGGCAUAGUAUCUUGUGAUAAAUGUUAAUUCUGUUGAUGAGUGUGCUGGUGUCAGGGUAUUGGCAAUGGGGUGGCUGUGUUGAUAUCCUCUGAGGAAAGGCUGGGGGCUACCCUGCAUUGUACGGCCCCAGUGCCAGCUGGCUCCAUCUGCUCAAACCAUUGACCAAGCUAUUGACAGCCACUCCUGGGAAAACUGGGCAUCUCUGGUGCCUGGAGCACAACCUCCCCUUCCUUCUUCUUUGACUUUAGCAUUCUCUCUGCUGUUUCUUGCACUUUUUACUCACACUUCCUCUGCCCUUUUUUUUUUUAAGAAGGGACGAAGUAUGUCACACAGGCAAUUAUUGCUAAUUAAUAACAGUCCUGAGCAGUGAGAAAACUAAAAGCAAACUGAAGACACCUUCCCUCCAUUCACCAUCUUUUACCUUCUCCCCACAAGCAGACCGGAGCUGCAGUCAGUCCAUAGCAUUUUGUCUUUGCUGCUCCUGUAUAGUCACUUUCUGCCCCACAUGGGGUCCCUCCCACAGAUGCCAUCCUUCCCAAACUGGUCCCAUGUGGCCUUCACGCAGACUACAGCUCUCCAAGCACUGCUCAAACGUGGCUUCAUACCACGGGGCCCUCCUUCUGCACUGACCUUGGUGCCUGCAGAGCUGUUUGUCUCAUGUUUCUCACUCCUCUCUCCCAGCUGCUGUUGCACAGCAGUUUUCCCCUCUCUUAAAUCUGCUCUCCCAGAGCACACCCAGCAUCACUUAUGGCUCAGCUCUGGCAGCAGCAGGUCCCUUUGGGAGCAGCUGGAGCUGGCUCUGGUCUGAUAUGGAGCAGCUGCUCAUGGAGACUAUCCCUACAGAUCCCUGCUACCCAAGCCUUGUCAUGUAAACUCUAUAUAUACUUCAAAAUAUCAUAUUUGAAGUGCAUCUUCCUUUUUUUCUUUCCUCAUUACUGCAUGGAAAAACAGUUGGAUGCUGAAGUCCCUCCUAACCGUGGACUGUAGUGUCUGCCAGCCAGAAAGCAGGACAUAGGCUGCUGAUGUACAGAUCAGGGAGAAUAGACCAGCAUGUGUACAGUUACCCUUGAACUCUUAACAGCAGGUAAAAAUCUCCCUAUUAUCAUGUUUCCCUACAGCUGCUUUUCUUACUUUUGCUGUAGUGCUGGAUAUUAGCUGGGAGGGCUUGGAAGAAUUGCCAUCACUUGGGGAUGACAGCAGUUCCUGCAGUUUGCCUGCAGUUUGGUCAACUCCUUUGAAGGGCUGUGAUGACUCUUGUCUGUGAAGGUGGAAGGAGAGUGAGUGCUACAAGCAUUGUUAUAAGCAAAAAGGAAAGCCUACCUUAUCUGAACUUUUUAACAGUUACUGUACAGGCAACAGUUCAGUUGCAAAACCUAAUACUUGUCCAUACUGAUACAGAUAGCCUUGAUAAUACAAUUCAAAUUUUGUUUAGGAAAUUCUCCUAGUUUCUGCUACUUUCCUCUGGUGUUACAGUACUUCCCAUGUUCAUCUAUCUCUAAAGAUGGACACUAAGUUAGGAUGAGAGAGGCUUGGAGCUGGUUGUCAGCAUCCCAAGGACUUUGCAAGGAGAAAUAAUGGUUGUAAAAGUUGCCUCUACUUGCAAUGAGAGACUUGAUGUUGAUUGUUUCUUCCUGCUCAAUUUUAAAGUCCAUUUAGGUUUUUUGUAUGCUUGCUUAUCACCAUCUGCCUAUAUGCCCUUUUCCAACAUUGGUUCUCAGUUUCUCUAUUUAUUUCAUUCUCUUUUUUUCUAUAUCAGGUCUUUUACAGUGCGAGGCAGCUCUUUUGUAGUGACUUUAAAAACCAUGUGUGUGUUUCCCCUGAUACUUUAGAUGUGGACCAGCUUCAACUCAUGCACAUAGUUACCUUCUUUCUCUGAGGUUAUUCUGGCACCCGACCUUUGAUGAAAAUAUGAUACCCAGAAACUCACACCUGUGGGUGAUUCUUAUCUCAGGUGUUCUGUUCCCUUUGCCUGGAUUUCAGAACCGGAAGACUUAUAAAAUAUCCUACCCACACGUACAUUCUUGCUGUAAGAAGACAGCUGAUAAUUCUUUCAUCAUCCACAGUACACCAACAGGUAGAUAAAAAGAGGGAGGGCCUUAGGUUUGAUGUGAAAGUACUCAUAUGGUCUGACAACAUGAAUUCCUUCCUUGGGAACUCUAUGCAGUAUGAAGGUCUUUCAUCUCUGCUCAUGCCAGUAUAUGGAUGCCUUAGCUCAUAUCCAGAAAGCAUGGAAUUGCACUUCAUUACGUGUUGUUUUUGUGCAUGUAUGUAAGAAUUGCAUGUUCAGAUUCUUAGGCUUUUUUUUUUUUAACAUUUCUUAGUACUCAGCAAAUGCUCUGACAGUGCUAUGAGCUAGAAUUGGAGCUUGGACUGCAGAAAAUUAUUGUAUGAUAAUACUUCUUUUAAAAGAAGUCAUCUCAAAGACUUAGGAUCUUGUAAACAUUAUGAAAUUGCUGCUAUGUUCCCAUUUUCCCUUUAAAAGUGUGCAGGCAGAUGUGCUUCUGAGGGGGCCUUAAUUCAAGCCUUGUAUCUCUUUUCUCUGGGUCUGGGAAACAUCUUUUCUCCUUUUACCUCAAUGCUGGACUGAUGCAUUGCUCUCCAUAGACAUAACUGCUGCUGAGCAUGCUAAAAUGGACAGAGAAAAAAAAGAGGAUGACGUAAGAUAUUUCCUUUCAUUAAGAUCUCCUUUGUACUAUUAGACUUUCCUUUGUCCCCUCUGCCUGGCACACAGUGAGACAUUUGACCCUCUUGGGUUGACUGACUGAUGCUUUAACAAGAGCCUUGUGUUUAUAUUGUUCUACAUAUUGUUACAGAAAUAAAUUAACUGAAGCUUCCCAAAUGACCCAGCAAUAAGAAAACAAAACACGUUGGUCUGCCCUUGCAAGCAGCACCACUAGAAGGUCAUAAUGAGAAAAGUGCAGUUUGAGGCUGGAAGGACUGAAUGUCACAGGACAACUUCUAAAGGGCAGCACGAAGUUACCUUUAGCUCAUGACAUCCAUCACGUUGAUUUUAAAGAAGCAGAGUCUUGUCCUAGAGAAUUCUGAAAUCAACGUAUGUUAUAAUGAAUGGCAACUUGGAAUAUUUGCAUACAGGUUUCUUCUCUUGAUCAUAUUAAAAUUAAAGUUAAAUUCAGAUAACUGGAGGUUUUGGGGGGGGUUGGUUGGUUUCGGGUGGUUUUUUUUUGGUUUUUGUUUGUUUUUUUGGUGGUGGUGGUUGUCUUUUGCUUUUCUUCCUGGUGGCUUAUUCUAAGUAGAGGUUUGUGGUUUUGUUUUUUCCCUUAGUGGUAAAAACUUUCCCCUAGUGAAGAAAUACACGACUCUUCUAUACCUAGAGAAUAUCUAGCCAGAAUAUAGCAGUAUUUGAGAUGUUUAUGCCUUCUUAUUUCAGUGCCAGAUGUACAUGCAAUAACCUUGUUUUUGUCAUCUCAAUACCCAGACUUUCCAGGUGACCAUGGUCUAAACUUGUGAUAAUCAUAUCGGUGGUCCGUUAUAAUGAAACAGUAAAGUAUUCCUGCUGGAAACAAGUCUAAAAAAAGCACAUUUGAGAGGAUUAUUUCAGGAAGCCUUAAGUAGGCUAUGCUGUUGCAUAGCAACAGAGCCAGGCAGUCCUUAGACUCUAAAGCAGUCAGAGUACACAUGGGAACAGAAUGCAAAAAGGAUGGAAACAUUGAAAAAAUGUAAGGCUGACAUGAAGACAAACUGAUGUGAAAUGAUAUGCAGUGCAGAAUGUGAAUUUAUCAUGUGAGAGAUAAUAAAUUGAACUGCUGUUAAAUCGAGAGCUGAAGUGCUGUCAGCUAAACUGUGCUUCAUGGUAGCCAUUAAAAGAAAGGCAGAAAAUCUGGUGGCUGGAAAAACUAAUUCAGAUGUAAAGUAGAUGUUAAGUGCCUGAAGAAGAAAACAAAAUGUGUGAAGGUGUUGGGCUUUUUAUUGAUAAGUCAAAAGUUGACCAAAUAUUUUAUGAAUGAAAUACUGAGUAAAGUAUUGUGACACAAAGAGACUGUUAUUAAAAAGCUACUUGUCUCACAUUCGCAGGUCUCCAAGCUGGCCCAUGGUACGGAUCUUAGCAAAUACUGAGAAGUACAGUGUCAUUGGGUGUAUUCUUGGCAAAAUCCAAGCCUGCGUGUAAAAUGUGAAAUCUCAACAGAAGCACAUUAUGGUUGUGCAACUUCGCUUUUCGCAAGAGAUAAUUAUUUCUUAUUAAAAGCAAAUAAAGGAGACAAUAUUUAAAAUUUGGUAACAGAGCUGUUUGUCAUUUUGGUAUCCAAAAAGAAGGCUUCCCUUCCUUCAAGUGCUACUUUUGUCACUGCCCAAGAAGAUACAGCAAUAAGCUCUUCUGUUCUGGAUGCUGCAACGAAUACUUUGAUGGUGAAUCAUGACUGCAUGAUUUUGAAAGGUAGUCACAUGCAGACAGUUAAGCUAUUGCAUCAGAACCUGCUGAAAAGAUUAAUGAUAUAACAUUGCAUCUGUCUAGUAAGUUACAAUUUCUUUAAAAAAUGGAGGAAAAUGCCUUGAAAAGGGACAGUUGCCUUCUAAACACUAAAGAAGAAUUUUAAAAUAGCUGAACUCUGAAGCUUUUAUAUACCUUGACUACAUGAUAACUUGACAACAUGUUGUAAUGAAGCAUGGAAGAAUCAGAGCAGAUAGAUCUGGGAGAAACGUCAUGAGAGUGCUGAUGCAUCCCCCUGUCCACAGAGGAUCAGUGUAUAGCCUAUUGUAAAUGCUGUCAUAGUGGUAUUUAGACAUUUUCUUUUUGCUGGUCUAACUGUGUACUUUCUUCUUUGAGAUUCUUAUGUUAUCUGCAAGCUGAUGUUGUAGAUGUUGUAUCAAUCAAAUUGUCAGAAUGCAGAACAUCACAAAAUGCAAACUUUGUUCACUUGGAAAUGGGAGCAGUGUAAUGGGAUGGAUGACUCUAUUAAGUGAAGUCUCUUGCUCUGAAACUGGGAGGCAAACGACCUUCCAAAAUUAUAUUGAAUGAGAUUGUCCUAGAGGAAAACAGUAAUUGUAGUGAUAGGAGUAUUGUCUGGAAAUAAAUUAUAGGCCAUAACUAUUUCAGAACUUGGCCUAACAGUAAAUAGUGGAAACUGUUCUAGAGAAGGAAAAUCAAAAUACUCAUAGAAGGAGAUGAGAUUGGUCAAGCAGGACCUGCCUUUCACGAACUGUUGCUGGAUGGGCCUGAUUCCCUGGUUGUCCCACACAAGGUGUGUGAUCACACUUAAGAUGAUCUAUUCCUUAACCUUUCCUGGCUUCGAGGUCAUGCUGGCAGUCUUGUAGUUCCCCAUAUUCUCCUUACAACCCUUCUUAUAGAUGAAAGUCAUACUAGCAAGUCUCCAGUCAUCAGGAACCUCCUCAUUUGGUCAGGACUACUGUUAGAUGGUGCAGAGCAACUUGGCAAUCAUGUCGAACAUCUCCCUCAGUGCCCUCAGGUGGAUCCUGUUUGGCCCCAUGUACUUCUGACAGUCCAGGUGGAGUAGCAGGUCUCUAACUGUUUCCACCUGUAUCGUAGGGGAUUUAUUCUGCUCCCCAUCCCAGAAUUCCAGGUCAAGAGGCUGAGUACUCCAAGGGUAACUGGUCUGACUACUAGGGACAAAUGUAAAGAAGGCAUUGAGAACCUCAGCCUUUUCCUUAUCCCUUAUUCUCACCACAUCCAGUAAUGAAUGGAGAUUCUCCUUGCCCUUUCUCUUACUGUUAAUAUAUUUGUAAAAACAUUUCGUUGUCCUCUACCACUGUGGCCAGGUUGAGGUCAUAAUGGACUUUAGCCUUUCUGAUUUUCUCCCUGCAUAUGCUAGCACCUUUGCCCAUCAGGACUGAUUCCCAAGGGUCUCUCCCAUCAGUGUCCUGUACAGCCCAAAGUCCACCCUCCAGAAGUUCAAGGUAGCAGUUUUGCUGACCUCCCUCCUAACUUCACUAAUGAUUGAGAACUGUACCAUUUUGUGGUCGCUCUGCCCAAAACAACUCUUGACCACAUCUCCCAUCUGUCCUCUGUUUGUGAACAGCAGGUCUGGCAGGGCAGAUCCCCUAGUAGGCUAUCUUACCAGCUGUGUCAGGAAGUUACCUUUCACGCACUCUGGGAAUCUCCUAGACUGCUUCCCCUGGAGUGUAUUGUAUUUUCAGCAUAUAUCAGGGAAGUUGUUCCAUGAGAACAAGAGCUGGUGAUAACGUGACUUCUGCCAGCUGCUUGUAGAAUGUCUUGUCCGUGUCCUCAUCCUGGUUUGGUGAUCUGUAACAGGAUCCCACCAGGAGGUCAGUCUUGUUGGCCUUCCUCUGAUCCUUACCCACAGCAACUUGACCUUAUUAUUCCCAGUCCUGAUGGAGCCAGUUCUUACAAAGCACAACUAUGUCCCAUUUGACUGGAAAAGUAUUCAACAGUACUGCAUAUUGUCUGUACGCCACUUCUUGUUUCAAGACUAAGCUAUGUUCUCUGAUGAGAAUUAUGUUGAUGAAUACCUUUAAAACUCUAUCUGUGUAGGUUGGCACUUAUUGGCAGAAGUGUCUGAGAGAAAUAACUUGUUUGCAGCAUGAAUCCUGAAUAAGGAAGACAGGGAUGCUUCAUGAGUAAAACCCAUGACUUCUUUUGCUUUUUUUCCUUUUUACUAAAUGUCCUGGUGCACCUACUGUGUUUUUGCAGAAAGGAAUAUUGAACUAAAAUUAAGUGGUAAAUGAGAGACCAAAUCCUUGUGGCCAUAAGCAUGGUUGAUUUUGGUUAAGCAUAGACAGAGUAUUUAAAUCUUUGCCUUUUAGUUCUGUAGAUCUCCUUAGUCAGAAUAUACUAAAACAGCACUUAUUGUAGAAGGGAAAUAUAUUGACUUUUUUUUUUUUUUUGAAUGAUUUCUUUGUAAAAGUUAUGAGCUUAAGAAUAUGCGACUUCAUAAUGCUUUUUUAAUGCAGAUUUAAAGCAACUUUUCAUUUUUUUCUGGUUAAAAAAGUCUGGGAUGGUAAUUUUGAUUAUUCUAUUUCAUGGUUUAUCAGUUGAGUUAUCCAGUAAAUUCCAGUAAGAUAUCAUUGUCUUAUUGCUCAACUGUGUCUGUGCAAAAACAGUACUGUUCCUUAGUAUGAUAGAUACAAUCUCUCAUGGAAAAGUAUUCUUUUAUCAAGUUACUGCUCUAUUUCAUCUGCUUCCAAAAUAGCAGUCCAUGCAUUAGAUGGGAAUCUAAGUGUACAGGUAGCUGUGGAAUAGAGCUGUCUUCUCCCUGUCCCGUCUCUAAGCUAAGGCUGGAUUUGGAACCAAAAUUUAUCUUAAAAGCAUAACUAUACAUCUAUAAAACAGACGUGCUAUUACAUGACAAGUUCUCUUGUUUGGGGUUUUUUUUUUUUUUUUGGUUCCUUUAUGAAAGUUGUACAUAGAUAAUUAUCUUCAAAUAAUGUGCUGAUUGUGAUACAUUUAGCAGCCAAAGCCUGGGAGAGUUUUACCUAAAAAUCAUUUAAUUCAACCUCAUCAUUAAGCGUGUGUGAAGAAAGAAGGGAAGUAAACAUUGAAGGAUUGUGCCUCUUAGACAUAUACGACAUCUUCACCAAGAGAAUUGCAGCUCUCCUGUGCUGGCAGGCAGCAUAUGUCAAAUCUUGUAGACAAGCAGUGUGUCAAGUGCUCAUUGUUACUCUCUGUCAUCCAUUUUAAAAUAAAAUAUUGUUGCCAAUUGAUAUUUUUUAUUAUGGGGUUUUGGAGUUCAUUUAGGUAGUUAAUCUCUUGAAAACAUUAAAUUCAACAACUCAGGGUACUUCUAGCCCACUACCUGCAGAGAUGCUGAUUUUAAUUUCUGUUGAUAUGUCACAUGCUUCAUGUACUUUCACUUUCAAACUCUUGAUAACAAUAUCUUUGUAUAAAACUUCUUUCACUGAGUUGUGAAAUCUCAUCAAACUGGGAUUUCAUUUAUGAAAGCCAUCGCUAAGUUUUGGAUUUUUACUGUUAUUUUUCAGUAGAACCCAAGCAUAUGGAAGAAGGAAAAGAGUAUAAAUUUGACAGUUACCUCAAGAAAUUGGAGGUGGAAAAUUUAACAGAAGUUGUAUUGCAUAGGCCAAGAAGUAUUCAGGGAGCUUUCUAAAAACACCAAUGCUGACUCUUUCAUACAUACUUUUUAAUGCUGUUCUUGUCAUCUCUUUCUCCUUCUGAGUGCUCUGAAUACUAAUUCUACUCCUCACAGUGUUUACAGUACAUCCUCAGUUUCAUAGGAUAUGAAUGUAGACCUUUUGCAGGUGUAGCAUUAUGUGUUACAUGGAAUAGUCAUUUAUAAUAACAGAGAUGUCUUAUUAAAUGGGCUAAAAUCCAAGACUGCAAAGUCUCCCGUGAUCAUGCUGUAUCUGUUUACCUUCCUUCCUGUCCUCAUCCUCUGUAAUUCCUUAGGAGCCUGAAAGUAAUUUUGAACACAACCUCCAUAGAGAGUAAGGAGUUGAGAGGUAAAAGAAAUUCUUUCACACAUUUUGAGACGUUUCAUGAAACUAGGAGGCUGAGGAAAGUGGCUUUAUGAUAAUCCCCAGUGCUGCAGUUGACAUUCUAACCUUCUAUCAAGCAAAAUGGCUCUGUGCUGGGGGAGCCUUCAGAUGGCAACCCUGCACGUGGCAAGGGGGUUGGAAUAUAGAUAGAUGAUCUUUGAGGUCCCUUCCAACCCAAGCCAUUCUAUGAUUCUGUGCUGAGAUGAUAUCUUACCACUUACCUUGGUAUCUAGUUCCAUAGCACCAGGUUUCAUCUGUCCUUAUUCUGACAUAACUGCUUUCUUCUUGUUUCUGCUUCCUCUAGUUUGCUGGUUCCGUUGGCAGAAGAAGUGAGGUAUUCAGCCUUCUUUUUUCAGUUUCAUAGCAUGUGGGAAAAUGCUGGUUUUGUAACUUGAGAUUAGUAAAUAGUAGAAAGAAGACUAGAACCACGUUUUCUGCAAGAGUAUCUGUUAAUGAAAUCAGAAAAUUGAAAUUAUGUUUCACAGAAUUAUUCACAAACUCAAUUCGUUCCACAGAGAAUGAAGAGAAGUGAAUGGUAAUACCUUAAUGACUGAUUCGAUGACUUUAUUAGGGACUGACGGGCAUUGUGGCAGUCACUGGAAGCGAAACUCUCAGGUGAUGUCAGUGGAGUUCCACAUUUAUACUGUAAUGUCUCAGGAUAAUGCCAAUGCAUAACAGAAUGGUGUUCGACAUUUAAAAGAAGAUGCAGACAGGAAAACUCGGAAGUGUUAAUAAACGUAUGUUUGGUAACAUUCUUUUUCUGUUCUGAGUGUUGCUAGUAAUGCCAUAUUGAGCCCAUAGAAAAUGAGCCUUUAAAAUUCUCCGCAAGUACAUUUUUGUAUGGCUUUAUAGCUUGUUUCCUAGCUAAAAUUAAGUUAUUAAGCCUGAGAGUUCCCUUGGUGUUCUGUUUUAUGGAGUGUCUCAUGAAGAUGAUAAUCUCACAGAAGUGUAAUCUGUGGAGUGCAAACUCUGUACAGUCCAGGGAGUUGUACAUGGAGUAGAGUAGCCCUCGUUUUGCUGGCCUUGUAGACAAAUAGCUUGUUCCGUCUCAGUCAUGGACUUCUCUGCUUAUUCUAUUCCUGAUGCACUGAUUUGCAGCUUCCAAAGUAGUAAAAGAAUAUUCUUCUGUGGUGGUUUUGGUUGGCUGGUUUUGUUCUAUUUUCUCUUCCCCCACACUAAGUGAAAUCAACAGCUUGGCCAGAGUGAUACCUAUGAUGACUUUGGACUGACACUACACUAGUGACAAAAUCCAAUUUGUACAUGUAUUACUUAGAUCUUGUACUUUUUCUGCAGGCACAAGCAAAUAGUAACUCCAGAAAGUUUCGCUUCAGACAUUUUGUAUUCUGAUCUUGCUGGAUGAUAUUUGUCAGUGAACAGGUCCUCGCUGUUUCUUUUCACUUAUGAAUUUUAUAUGCUUCAUUACACCACUGUUGAAAUAUUUGGUACUGAAACGGCUGCACCCUGGAGAAAGAACAACUGGUAGAUUUCUCAUUUGCUUCAGUAUUCUUGGGGUACUUCAAGAAGGGAGCGCUGCACUGGAAGAAAUGUACAUGUGCUCAUGAAGGCAUUAGUAUAGUAGUAUUAGUUAACUGUGAGGCAGAGCGCCAUUAAUGUGUGUCAGGCAGGCUUUCAGACAGUGCUGACCCCUUCCAUUCCUUGGGUGUUUGUUGUUAGGUUUUAACUUUUUUUUUUUUAUAGCAGUUUCCUGUUUCAUAGUGGUUGUUCAUAGGAGUAAAAUUACCAUGUCAGCCAUCCAGCAUUUGGCAUGAGACACCAAAGCUUGAUAGCCCUGAACUUUUUCGAAUACGUCAGUCUUGCAGUGAUACUUGAUACAGUUAUAUUUAGUCUUGAUAAAAUAUGGUUUAGAACCCUCCUUUGGCUUCUCAGGCAACUUACAUGUAUCCCCUCACUCAGCUGACUGAAGUUGUGGAGGUGAGGGCUGGGGUGAGGAUGAAUGGCCAGAAUUUGUGAAGAUAAUUCAGAUCUAAGUGUAGGAAUGAGUUGGCUGUUGUCUUACGUACCUAUUUAAAUAAAGAGUUUAUAUGAAAUGAGGGUUUUUUUAUUUUAAGAGGUAAAAAGCUGAAUCCUUUGCUGCUCUUAGUAGGGGCUUCCUCAGCGUCCAGCAAUUGUAUGUAGUAGGAACUGGUUAAAAGCGUUUGCACACUGUGUGCAAAUGUGGAGAUACAGCUACUCCAGUAAUAACAGCUAAACCUACCUUUCUGGGCACGUUCUCUCUUUGCAGUAUGUAAAGCCCAAGAAGUGCAGCUUAGAACUGAAGGAAACAUAUAGCUGUAGGGGUGCUGCUGCUGUAUGGUGGUUCCCCAGUGCUGCUUUUCUUCAGAGUACUGCUCCACCAGAAAGCUUCCAUGAUCGUCCUCCUACAUCCAGACAUAAAGUGUGAGAGAAGUCACAUUUAAAGCAUGUUAAUCUGGCUUUUUGCAGAAAGCCUUAGUACAAAUGAACUACAGUAAAAGAAGCAUCAGCAAAAGAAAGUUUUAACCCGUCAGGUUAAAGCUGUGGCAGACAGUCCAGCAAAGAUGCAAAUCUUUCUCUUACUGAGGUUGAAAUAUAAGUUUCCCCUAUUGGCAAACUUUACAUUAAGGCAUAUCAUCGCAUAUCCCAUAAUGGCAUGAAAAAUAACUUAUUUUCCAUUGGAAAAGAAUUCUGAGCUAUAUCUAGCUUGCAGAGUGUGGCUUUUUAAGCUGUGCUUUAUAGUUCAGCUCUUCCUGUACUCUUAUUAGCUUAUUUCCACUCACUUCAGUGACUUUUUGGUAAUGCAUUCACUUUGGUGUAGGUACAGCACCAAAAUAAAUUUGAAGAGUCUAUACACAAAGCCAAAAUUAACCAUACUAGAGGAAAAGCAAAUGCACAAAACAUAUCAGUGCUGUACAUGAGCACAUACUGUUAUCAAUUUGUACUUUCUUAAUCCUUGUGCUCUGCUUUUUGUGCAGAAAGGAACUUUGUUCCACCCCCUACCUUCCUCCUACUUCCCAGCUAAUAUUAAAAGCAGAGACAGCUCUAUAAAGAAAUUAUGUUGCUG